UCAGGCAUCAUGCGGCCGCUUCGGAUUUCGCCGGCCGCGAUAAAAACAGCCGGAAGUUACGAUUUUGGCAGUACUUCCGGGAU
Molecule: unclassified non-coding RNA, 83 nt
Filed under: Cupriavidus taiwanensis
Lineage: Bacteria; Pseudomonadati; Pseudomonadota; Betaproteobacteria; Burkholderiales; Burkholderiaceae
Description: P1
Source: RNAcentral